Molecule: non-coding RNA, 1059 nt
Organism: Camelina sativa (false flax)
Lineage: Eukaryota; Viridiplantae; Streptophyta; Magnoliopsida; Brassicales; Brassicaceae
Source: RefSeq, a predicted model, not a curated record
GAUUUAAAUUUAAAUCAUAAAAGCCCAAUUACGAAAAAACGGUUCUUAUUUGGGGACGUUUUUUGUCCGUGUACUUGGACACGUGGAAGCUGGUCGUCGAGAGAAAGUUCUCCAAUUCUCUCUUCUAUCUCGACUCCGUCUCCGUCUUCGUCUUGGGUCCGGUGGCCACACACGAUCUGAACCCAGUCGCCGGCAGUCAUCGCCCACCGUUUGGUGUUGCAAUCUUUCUCUCUCCUUCAAACUCGUAAGCUUUAGAGUAUAUCAACCAGAUGUUCCCAAAGCUUCGGUUCCUUCCAAAUCAUCUCAUCACCACCAGGAACAGCCAGCUACGUCUCACUGAAGAGCAAUCGCUUCUUCUUAAUUAGAUGAGGUCCAGUUGCUGAAGACAUGUUUCAUUGGCAAGCUACAAUAAUGGGUCCUGCAGAGAGUCCGUAUUCAGGGGGUGUGUUUCUCGUUACCAUUCACUUCCCUCCCGAUUAUCCUUUCAAACCACCAAACUGUAGUAAAGUUAGCUUUUGAAAUGCCUCAAGGAAUCAAUGGCCUUAGAUCAAAGUUCAUAGUAAAGUCCUGCAGUAGAUGAUGACGGAGAUUGUUUUUCUCCCUUGGCGCUGAAUGCGACCUCCGUAAACGUUGAAGUCUAUUAUAACAAAGCUGUGAACUAUACAUUGAUGGUCACUUUUGUCUCGUUCCUACAGGUUCUUUUGUUGAUCCGACAAAUGGAGCACAGUAACACACAAUCCGGUGCUGCAAAGGUCUCUAUAGUAAUGAUCGGGUAACAAGCCAUCAUGGAUUCUUAUUUAUGCCUUUUACAUCUCACAGCUGGGAUUUUAGUUGGUAUGUAUUUUAUAAAAUAAUCUCACACUUGUGUUUCCUCUUUGUUUAGAUGGUAAUCUUAUGUUAUAACAAUGUUAAUGUUAAUUUUUGUAACUUUUAAAAUAUUAUUAUUUUAUUUGGGGGACCAAAUACAAAUAGACACCAAUGUUCAUACUAAAAAUAAGAACCUUUCAAAAUAAUACUUUUAAAUUUGGGGGACCAAAAAUUGUCCCUAACCAAUGCCCA